CCUACGUGUGGCAGCAGUGAGGAAUAUUGGUCAAUGGACGAGAGUCUGAACCAGCCAAGUAGCGUGAAGGCUGACUGCCCUAUGGGUUGUACACUUCUUUUAUAUGGGAAUAAAAUGUUCCACGUGUGGGAUUUUGUAUGUCCCAUAUGAAUAAGGAUCUGCUAACUCCGUGCCAGCAGCAGCGGUAAUACUGAUGAUCCGAGCGUUAUCCGGAUUUAUUGGGUUUAAAGGGAGCGUAGGUGGAUUGUUAAGUCAGUUGUGAAAGUUUGCGGCUCAACCGUAAAAUUGCAGUUGAAACUUGCAGUCUUGAGUACAGUAGAGGUGGGCGGAAUUCGUGGUGUAGCGGUGAAAUGCUUAGAUAUCACGAAGAACUCCGAUUGCGAAGGCAGUUCACUGGACUGCAACUGACACUGAGGCUCGAAAGUGGGGGUAUCAAACAGGAUUAGAUACCCCUGUAGUC
Molecule: ribosomal RNA, 460 nt
Filed under: uncultured bacterium
Lineage: Bacteria
Description: partial 16S ribosomal RNA
Rfam family: Bacterial small subunit ribosomal RNA
Source: RNAcentral